GAUGAACGCUGGCGGCGUGCCUAAUACAUGCAAGUCGAGCGAACGGACGAGAAGCUUGCUUCUCUGAUGUUAGCGGCGGACGGGUGAGUAACACGUGGAUAACCUACCUAUAAGACUGGGAUAAAAUCGGGAAAACGGAGCUAAUACCGGAUAAUAUUUUGAACCGCAUGGUUCAAAAGUGAAAGACGGUCUUGCUGUCACUUAUAGAUGGAUCCGCGCUGCAUUAGCUAGUUGGUAAGGUAACGGCUUACCAAGGCAACGAUGCAUAGCCGACCUGAGAGGGUGACCGGCCACACUGGAACUGAGACACGGUCCGGACUCCUACGGGGGGCAGCGGUAGGGAAUCUUCCGCAAUGGGCGAAAGCCUGACGGAGCACCGCCGCGUGAGUGAUGCAGGCCUCCGGAUCUUAAAACUCUGUUAUUGGGGAAGAACGUCUGUUUGAGUAUCUUUGCACAUCUUGACGGUACCUAAUCAGAAAGCCACGGCUAACUACGUG
This 497-nucleotide ribosomal RNA is filed under the name uncultured bacterium. RNAcentral describes it as "partial 16S ribosomal RNA". It matches the Rfam family "Bacterial small subunit ribosomal RNA", at positions 28 to 507 of the family's 1533-position model. The record is from RNAcentral.